ACACGGAUGAAAGACAAGCUGAAAGACUUUUCUCAAUGAUGUAAGUGGUGGUGCAUGGUCGUUCUUAGUUCGUGGAUUGAUUUGUCUGGUCUAUUCCGAUAACGAGCGAGACCCCUACGUUCCUAAUAGGGGUGCCCGCCCGGCUGGUCCCUUCACCGGGGCCUGCUAGCGGGCACUUAGGUUUGCUUCUUAGACGUAUCAGGGCCGAUAAGGUCCUUGAAAUGGGUUAAUAACAGGUCAGUCAUGCCCUUAGAUGUUCUGGGCCGCACGCGCGUUACAAUGGUACACACACAGAGUGCCCACAAGGGCGUUUCCGCGGCCUCGCGGUCGCGGUAACCCCUAAUCUGUUCCUUGACUGGGACAGACUAUUGCAAUUAUUGKYCUCCAACGAGGAAUUUUUAGUAGUCGUAGGUCAUUAACCCGCGGCG
Molecule: ribosomal RNA, 428 nt
Filed under: Didymium minus
Lineage: Eukaryota; Evosea; Eumycetozoa; Physariida; Didymiaceae
Description: SSU rRNA
Rfam family: Eukaryotic small subunit ribosomal RNA
Source: RNAcentral